AUACGUAGGGGGCGAGCGUUAUCCGGAUUUAUUGGGCGUAAAGCGUGUGUAGGCGGUUUGUUAAGUUUAAGAUUAAAGCCCGAGGCUUAACCUCGGUUCGUCUUAAAAACUGGCAGACUUGAGUGCAGUAGAGGCAAGUGGAAUUUCUAGUGUAGCGGUUAAAUGCGUAGAUAUUAGAAGGAACACCAGUGGCGAAGGCGGCUUGCUGGGCUGUUACUGACGCUGAGACACGAAAGCGUGGGGAGCAAAUAGGAUUAGAUACCCUAGUAGUCCACGCCGUAAACGAUGAGUACUAAGUGUCGGGUAACCGGUGCUGAAGUUAACACAUUAAGUACUCCGCCUGAGUAGUACGGUCGCAAGGCUGAAACUCAAAUGAAUUGGCGGGG
RNAcentral lists this ribosomal RNA (386 nucleotides) under uncultured bacterium. RNAcentral describes it as "partial 16S ribosomal RNA". It matches the Rfam family "Bacterial small subunit ribosomal RNA", at positions 523 to 918 of the family's 1533-position model. The record is from RNAcentral.